This 497-nucleotide ribosomal RNA is filed under the name uncultured bacterium. RNAcentral describes it as "partial 16S ribosomal RNA". It matches the Rfam family "Bacterial small subunit ribosomal RNA", at positions 28 to 507 of the family's 1533-position model. The record is from RNAcentral.
GACGAACGCUGGCGGCGUGCCUAAUACAUGCAAGUUGAGCGCUGAAGGAUGGUACUUGUACCCACUGGAUGAGCAGCGAACGGGUGAGUAACGCGUGGGGAAUCUGCCUUUGAGCGGGGGACAACAUUUGGAAACGAAUGCUAAUACCGCAUAAAAACUUUAAACACAAGUUUUAAGUUUGAAAGAUGCAAUUGCAUCACUCAAAGAUGAUUCCGCGUUGUAUUAGCUAGUUGGUGAGGUAAAGGCUCACCAAGGCGAUGAUACAUAGCCGACCUGAGAGGGUGAUCGGCCACAAUGGGACUGAGACACGGCCCAAACUCCUACGGGAAGCAGCAGUAGGGGAUCUUCGGCAAUGGACGAAAGUCUUACCGAACAACGCCGCGGGAGGGAAGAAGGUUUUCGGAUCGUAAAACUCUGUUGGUAGAGAAGAACGUUGGUGAGGGUGGAAAGCUCAUCAAGUGACGGUAACUACCCAGAAAGGGACGGCUAACUACGUG